UGGUGAGAUCAAUUGCCAAGAGUAGGAACUUUAGUUGUGAUAAGUGUGAAGGUGUUAGGAGAGGGUUUAAUCUGGCUAGUGUAGCAGGUGAAAUGGGAGGGAACACUGUGAGGGAGGUCUACCUAACAAGGAGAAAAUUGAGAGAAAUUCAGCCAGAAUGUAGCCCUACUUUCUUCUAAAUGGAAAUACUCAUCACUGUGAGAAUAGAGACAAACAGAAUGCGAGAAAGAAAAAUACAGUAACAGAUAGCAUUUAUCUAUUUAAGCAUUUUGCAUAUAUUAACUCAUAAAAUGCUAUUAGAUAAAACACUAUUAGGUAAUACAGUAUUAUUCCUAUUUUACAGAAAGAAGCUCAAAGUUGUUAAAGCAAAAGAGAGGGACCUUACUAUUUUGCCCUUGUCUGCUUCCCCAGAAUUCUUUUGCCACUUACUACUUUGAACUUUCUGCAUGAACACCAUCAAAUGGUUUUCAGUUUCAUGCCAUGAUGAGCUAUCUCUUGCCUCUGUACCUUUGGUCAUGCCAAGAUUCUCAGUCCAUGACCCCUUUUCUUGACUCCCAUCCAUUCUUUAACCCUCAGAUUCUGUUACUUUCUCACAAUUUGUGGACAUUUCUCUCACGGUGUUAAAAUAUUCUGUUUCCUUACCUUCACCUGGACUGGACUGUGGGCAGGACAUAGAUUUCGUGUCUGUGGCAUAGGGCCUGGCCAAUACUAUAUAUAUUUUUCAACUCAACCACAAAUGAGUAAAUAUCUGCGAUAACUAGGUGAACAGAAAAUUCUCAGGGAUGAGGUUUAAAAUAGGGAAAGAGGAAAGAAGUAAAAACUCGUGGCAAAAUAGAACUUGCAUACUCUUUACUUUCAAUUUAGGCUAGGGGUCAAACCAGAACUAUAGCUGCUGGCCUAUACCGCAGCCACAGCAAUGCGGGAUCUGAACUGCGCCUGCAACCUACACCACAGCUUUCAGCAACGCCGGAUCCCCAGUCCUCUGAGAGAGGCCAGGGAUUGAACCCGCAUCUUUAUGGAUACCAGUCAGAUUCAUUUCCGCUGCACCACAGUGGGAACUCCAAGGAAAAAAACAGCAUUUAAUAUGAGUUUGUAUACUACAGUCUAAGGAGAUUUUGUAUGAGUUCUGAGCGAUAUAGGUACUCAUAGGAAUGUAUCUCUAAUUUUUCCCCAUCUUAGUUAAUGGUGUUAACUUUUAAUGAUAACCUCUGCCCUUGGGUCUGCAGAAAUUCAAAACGGUUUGGGUAUUUUGAUGUGCAGGGAAAAAAAAUGGACACUUCCAAAAAAAUUUUUUUGACCACACCCAUGGCAUGUGGAAGUUCCUGGGUCGGGGAUUAAACCUGAGCCACAACAGUGACCAGAGGUGAUGCAUGGACAACACCGGAUCCUUAACGUGCUGUGCCAGAAGAGCACGCCUGUACACAUUAAAAAAAACCCAAAUCCGUAAGCUUUCUCUGCUUAUCUUUAGCACUUAUCUGUGGCUUUUGCAAUGCUAGCAUUACCAUAGUGAUAAAUAGGGGGUGAUGCUAUCCAUAAAGUUUCCUGCAUAGUUCAAUAAAAAUACCAGUAAUGACUAUUUUUUAUUGGUUAUGCCUGGCACCAUGCUAAGCAUUUCACAUACAUUAUUCCAAUUAAUUACAGUACCUCUAUGUUACAAAUCAGAAAUGUGAGGCCCAAGGCCACCCACUGACAGAGCCAGGAUUCUGACACCAGUAACUAUGCUCACCACACUACACAUUUGCUCUAAUUUAUUAAUUCCUUUAGGUCUUUCUCUUUCAAGUGGCUUUAGUCAAUACAGCCACUUGGGUUCUGCGCAUAUGCUGGAAAUAGCAUGGUCUGUUAAUUCUAACCCUCCACUGACUGUAUCAGGCAGUUCCUAGUUUUAAGCUCAGGCUCAAAGUAUAGACUCUUUUAUGAGAUUUCUGGCAGAAGCAGGUGAAAGGAAGAAUUCAAAACCAUUUCCUUUGUUGGGAGAGACACAUCAAGUAGUUGGGAGGGAGUGGGGCUGUUCCAUUCAGCCCUCAGUCUAGUCUCUUGGAGAGCAGCACUGAAGUCUCUCCCAUAAUUGCCUGCCUGGAAGGUGGAAAAUGGGAUAAGUGAUGUCACCGCAAAUGCAGACAUGCUGAACCCAAUAUUGCACAUCAGUGAAAUGGCUCAGGGAUUAGCUAGGCAUCCUCAACCCAUUUUCACAUUUAGUUUUCCUUCAAAGGAGAACUAUAUAAAAUAUACAACAAUAACCCAUGGCUUAUUUUAAAGUGCUUUCUUCUGACAGUCCUUAGUAGCACAUGAUUAGAGUUAAAAACCGAGAAACUAAUCCUUCUUCAGCUGCUGACCUGCAGUGUGAAAUGCAGUCAGGUAACCUACUCCAGGGCUGACCAAGGCACAGGUAUUUAUUAAGUAUCUAUUAACAGUCCAGCAUGAAUUUUUAUGCUUUGGGUAUCAAAAGAGUAUUGAAAGCUAGGUUUCAGCUUACCCUGAGCACCACACAAGUCAAAAUAAUGAAUUUCAGUGGUUAAAUGACUGGUAUAAACUACGGCAGUUGGGAUGACAAAUAAAUGAAUGACAGCUGGACUGGUCAAGCAUAGUGAGCAAUUGCUCUGACUGCCCACAAUCUACUUGUUUUUCCUCUAAUAACAUAAUACAUAUUUUGCUCUGAGAAGUCAUGCAUCCCCACUCUAAGUCCGCUUAGUUUGGGUGAUGACUAAGACAGGAAUGGGAGCAUGACUGACUAUAGCCAGUGAGAUUUUAAAAAUAUUCCUGUAUUGCCUAUGGCUGAAAGGAGACUUACACAUGGACUUUUCAGUUAGCUGAAACAAGAAAUUUCUUUUUUCUUAAGCCAGUUUGCUUUGGCUUGUUUGCUACUUGCAACCAAAAUAUUGCUAACGGGUUUUCUGCUUCUAGAUAGGGUAGACUUCUGCUUCUCAGAAGGAUACAGUAGAAGCUGACAGGGUAAUGUUCCCACUGCAACAACUUGAAACCAACAGAUAAAUUGCAAACUUCAUAUUUCUGAAUGCAUGGGGGAAAUGUAGAAGUAACAGAGAUGAGAUAAACCCUAAAUCUUGAGAGGUGAGAAGCUGACUACUCUAGUCAUUUUUCAACCUGAGUCAUCUGCCAAUUUUGAGCAUGACCUGAGGAGCAGGCUCGCUGAUGAAGCAGAACUCUGCUGGGAGUAAGAGUGACCACCUGAGCUUUUAGCAGUUACAGGGGGCUGAUAUGGCAGUUUGGAAGCUUGAAGAGACUCAAAUACUUAUUGUUUCCAGAUAGGUUCUAGAGCUGCAGGGGAACUAAGCUAAAAGCUUCUAAAAUGCAGAGUAAAUUAUCUAGAGUUUCUUGGUGCUUAGGAACUAAGAUCUGCCAGUGAGAGAGCUUGCAUCAAGAAAAUUUACUUAGGGUCUAGAGAUUGACUGAAACUUACAGAGAGCAGAGAUGGAAACCAGUACUGUUCUGGGGCUCAGGAAAUAUUUCUGACAGGGAUAUACAUGUCCCUGACAGAAUAUAUAAAUAUAUAUAUUUGUCUCUUUUUUUAGGGCUGCACCCAUGGUAUAUGGAGGUUCCCAGGCUAGCCACAACCACAGCAACACAGCUAUACCACAGCUUACAGCAACACCGGAUCCUUAACCCACUGAACGGGGCCAAGGAUAGAACCUGUGCCCUCAUGGAUGCUAGUCAGAUUCAUUUCUGCUGAGCCAUGAUGGGAAUUCCUGUCAGGGUUAUAUUAAAAAAUCUAGGAGAUUUAGGCUCUUGCACCAGUGAAAAUCAGGAAUGGACUUAAUAUUAUAAAUAUUGCAAUCUAGUUUUGUUCCUAAUGAAUUUCUAAAUGGGUUAAGAUGAUUGUAUUUUGCUAUAUUUGCAUAAUUAUGAAGAAAACACUAUGGUGAAAGAUAAAAUAAUCUGGACCCUCUUUUUUUUUAAAUUGAAGUAUAGUUGAUUCACAAUAUUGUGUUAGUUUCAGGUUAUAGCAAGGUGAUUCAGUUAUAUAUUUCUUUAGAUUAUUUUCCAUUAUAGGUUAUUAUAAGAUAUUGAAUAUAGUUCCCUGUGUUAUACAGUAAACUCUUGUUGCUUAUCUAUUUUAUGUACAGCAGUUUUUAUCUUUCAGUCCCUUAAUCCAAUUUAUCCCCCCCAUUUCCCUUAGGUAACCAUAAGUUUGUUUUCUAUACUUGUAAAACUGUUCUUUAUUUUGUAUAUAGACUCAUUUGUAUUAUAUUCAGAUUCUAAAAAUAAGUGAUAUCAUAUAAUAUUUGUUUUUCUCUGAUUUUCUUCACUUAUAAUAAUCUCUGGGUCUAUUUAUGUUGCUGCAAAUGGCAAUGUUUCAUUUUUUAUUGGUUAGUAAUAUUCCAUUGUAUAUAUGUAUGUAAAUAUACAUACAUGCAUACACAUACACAAGAUUGCUUUGGCAAUUCUGGGUCUUUGUGGUUCCAUAUAAAUUUUAGUAUUAUUUAUUCUAGUUCUGUGGAAAUACAUUAUGCGUUUUUUUGAUAGGGAUCACAUUAAAUGUGUGGUUGCUCUGGAGGUAGUAUGACCAUUUUAAGAAUAAUUCUUCCGGAGAUCCCGUCGUGGCGCAGUGGUUAACGAAUCUGAACCAUGAGGUUGUGGGUUCGGUCUCUGGCCUUGCUCAGUGGGUUAAUGAUCCUGCGUUGCCGUGAACUGUGGUGUAGCUUGUAGACGCGGCUCGGAUCCCGCGUUGCUGUGGCCCUGGCGUAGGCCCGUGGCUGCAGCUCCAAUUCGACCCCUAGCCUGAGAACCUCCAUAUGCCGCGGGAGCGGCCCAAGAAAUAGCAAAAAGACAAAAAAAAAAAAAAAAA
Molecule: long non-coding RNA, 4801 nt
Filed under: Sus scrofa (pig)
Lineage: Eukaryota; Metazoa; Chordata; Mammalia; Artiodactyla; Suidae
Description: lncRNA (ENSSSCG00030042160.1)
Source: RNAcentral